AGUGAACGCUGGCGGUAGGCCUAACACAUGCAAGUCGAACGGCAGCACAGUAAGAGCUUGCUCUUACGGGUGGCGAGUGGCGGACGGGUGAGGAAUACAUCGGAAUCUACUUUUUCGUGGGGGAUAACGUAGGGAAACUUACGCUAAUACCGCAUACGACCUACGGGUGAAAGCAGGGGACCUUCGGGCCUUGCGCGAUUGAAUGAGCCGAUGUCGGAUUAGCUAGUUGGCGGGGUAAAGGCCCACCAAGGCGACGAUCCGUAGCUGGUCUGAGAGGAUGAUCAGCCACACUGGAACUGAGACACGGUCCAGACUCCUACGGGAGGCAGCAGUGGGGAAUAUUGGACAAUGGGCGCAAGCCUGAUCCAGCCAUACCGCGUGGGUGAAGAAGGCCUUCGGGUUGUAAAGCCCUUUUGUUGGGAAAGAAAUCCAGCCGGCUAAUACCUGGCUGGGGUGACGGUACCCAAAGAAUAAGCACCGGCUAACUUCGUGCCAGCCGCCGCGGUAA
This 508-nucleotide ribosomal RNA is filed under the name uncultured bacterium. RNAcentral's name for it is "partial 16S ribosomal RNA". It matches the Rfam family "Bacterial small subunit ribosomal RNA", at positions 29 to 523 of the family's 1533-position model. The record is from RNAcentral.